AUGAGAAAAGAAUUUGGGGGGAUUGGUAUUACUGACAUUGGGGAUAUGAACUUGUGCCUGCUGGCCUCUUGGGUGAGUAGAUACUAUAAGUCUGAGGGUAAAAUUUGGGAGAACAUUAUUGAUUCCAAGUAUGGCCUCCAAAAUAAUAACAUUUUUGCUUGCUCUGCUGCUGGGGCUUCACCUUUCUGGAAAGGAGUGCUCUGGGCAGCUCAAGCUGCUAAACCUGGUUUCUCCUGGAACAUAGGUAAUGGCAAGAGAGCUAGAUUCUUGGAGAAUCAUUGGUUUGGUAAUGCUGCCUUGGCUACUCAAUAUUGGGAUUUGUAUAAUUUAGCUAACGAGCAUAAUAUAACUGUUGAUAAUGCUUGGGAUGGUAGCAAUCUAAAAAUUACUUUUAGAAGAUGCUUUGACCAGGAGUUUAUGUCUUUGUUUGAGCUCCUGGAGAUUGCUAAAUCUAUCCUGUACACUGAUGUGGGUGACUCCCUAGUUUGGAAUAUGAAUUCCAAAGGAGUUUAUACAGUUAAAUCCUUUUACAAAUUUGUUAACUUCAGGGGAGUGUUGCCAGUUAGUACCCCUGCUGUUUGGGCUGUUGAGAUCCCACCUAGGAUUCAAAUAUUUGUGUGGCUCCUAGCUAAUAAUAAGCUUCUCACUAGAGAUAACCUGGGCAAAAGACAGGAUAUACCUGAUGCAACCUGUGUAUUCUGCUCAAAGUUGGAGUCUUGCCAUCACUUAUUUUUUGGGUGUGCCAUUGCUGUGGAAUUCUGGAAAGUUGUAUCUAGACUAGUUGGAUAUGAAGGGGACAUCAAUACGAUGUCUUUCUCUUCCUGUUGGUCUAGAGGAGACAGAUUCGCUGCAAUUAAUAUCAUUCAUGCAGUGGGUUUGUGGGCUAUCUGGAAAACCCGAAAUGACAUGGUUUUCAAUUAUGUUGCUUGGCCUGGAAUGUAG
This 942-nucleotide ribosomal RNA is filed under the name Triticum aestivum (bread wheat). RNAcentral describes it as "partial small subunit ribosomal RNA". The record is from RNAcentral. Lineage: Eukaryota; Viridiplantae; Streptophyta; Magnoliopsida; Poales; Poaceae.